GUCAGGAUGGCCGAGCUGGUCUAAGGCGCUAGUUUCAGGUACUAGUCCGUAAAAGGGCAUGGGUUCGAAUCCCAUUCCUGACA
Selaginella moellendorffii is the source of this 83-nucleotide transfer RNA. It matches the Rfam family "tRNA". From Rfam's summary of the family: Transfer RNA (tRNA) molecules are approximately 80 nucleotides in length. Their secondary structure includes four short double-helical elements and three loops (D, anti-codon, and T loops). Lineage: Eukaryota; Viridiplantae; Streptophyta; Lycopodiopsida; Selaginellales; Selaginellaceae. The record is from Rfam.